Molecule: non-coding RNA, 783 nt
Organism: Pelobates cultripes (western spadefoot toad)
Lineage: Eukaryota; Metazoa; Chordata; Amphibia; Anura; Pelobatidae
Source: the annotation of a GenBank genome assembly
GGUGUAGAGUACAUGGGCAUGUGUUCAUAUCCAUAUGCAGUGCAGAAUGUAGGAUGGGGUCUCCAUCUUUAAAGAAAUAUUUGGUAAAUGAAUGGAGUUUGCCAGGCUUACACUAUUGACUCACUGAACUUUCCGCACCUAUUGUUACAAUAUAUGAUAUCGGAAAGGCGUCAAGUCGUGAUAGCGUGUGUUCAGGUUAUGGGACUUCAGGAGACCAGAUGAUGGUGUGAAGAUCAAAUUACAUGCUAUACAAAGAGUUUUAUAAAGAUAACUAUAAAGUCAAGUUUAAUUAGAAAAAUAUACAUUUGUAAACUUAUAGUGUAUAAACCGAUAUAAUACUUACUAUAGGGAGAGCGUAAUAUAAACCGAUAAAAUACUAACUAUAGGGAGAGUGUAAUAUAAACCGAUAUAACACUAAUUAUAGGGAGAGCGGGAUAUAAACCGAUAGAAUAGUAACUAUAGGGAGAGCAGGAUAUAAACCGAUAUAACACUAACUAUAUGGAGAACGGGAUAUAAACCGAUUAGGCAUGUGCAUGGGGAAAAUUUUCGGUUCGGCAUUCCGAAAUUCGGGACUUUCGCAAUUCAGGAAUUUGGCACUUCAACACUUAAGAAUUUCUCUUGCAGCCGCUAAGUAGAUAACUCCCUAAUUCCCACGGUAUUAGAGAGUUAUCUACCAAAAGGCUGAAGACCUAAAUUGGUCUUUCAGCCAAAUUUACUAAUGCUAAGUAAAAAUUACUUAGUAUUAGUAAAUUUUGCCCCUACUCGCUAUACCGCGAGUAGGGC